UUACGGAGCCUCCAUCAAUUCAACCAAUCUUGCCGGCAACAAGUACAUCAACUUUUCUCUUCUCGGCUUAGCAGAAGUCCCGGGCUACAUCCUUAUCUUUUUCACCAUGACGUGGUGGGGUCGUCGCCCAUCGUUGAGUCUAUUCUUCUUCAUUGCUGGUGCCGCUAGUUUCACAACUGCAUUUUUGCCCGCAAAGUCUGAACACGGCACCGAUUUAACGGU
Molecule: long non-coding RNA, 222 nt
Organism: Asterias rubens (European starfish)
Lineage: Eukaryota; Metazoa; Echinodermata; Asteroidea; Forcipulatida; Asteriidae
Exons: 3
Source: RefSeq, a predicted model, not a curated record